ACUCCUACGGGAGGCAGCAGUGGGGAAUAUUGCACAAUGGGCGCAAGCCUGAUGCAGCCAUGCCGCGUGUGUGAAGAAGGCCUUCGGGUUGUAAAGUACUUUCAGCAGUGAGGAAGGCGGGUACGUUAAUAGCGUGCUUGUUUGACGUUAGCUGCAGAAGAAGCACCGGCUAACUCCGUGCCAGCAGCCGCGGUAAUACGGAGGGUGCGAGCGUUAAUCGGAAUUACUGGGCGUAAAGCGCAUGCAGGUGGUUUGUUAAGUCAGAUGUGAAAGCCCGGGGCUCAACCUCGGAAUUGCAUUUGAAACUGGCAGACUAGAGUACUGUAGAGGGGGGUAGAAUUUCAGGUGUAGCGGUGAAAUGCGUAGAGAUCUGAAGGAAUACCGGUGGCGAAGGCGGCCCCCUGGACAGAUACUGACACUCAGAUGCGAAAGCGUGGGGAGCAAACAGGAUUAGAUACCCUGGUAGGAUAGCG
This 473-nucleotide ribosomal RNA is filed under the name uncultured bacterium. RNAcentral describes it as "bacterial SSU rRNA". It matches the Rfam family "Bacterial small subunit ribosomal RNA", at positions 335 to 799 of the family's 1533-position model. The record is from RNAcentral.